UGAGUUUGAUCCUGGCUCAGGAUGAACGCUAGCGGCAGGCCUAAUACAUGCAAGUCGAACGGUAAGUGUAGUAGCAAUAUUAUACGAGAGUGACGUACGGGUGCGUAACACGUAUGCAACCUACCCUUUACAGGAGGAUAGCUCGGGGAAACUCGAAUUAACCCUCCAUAACAUAUUGGUGUGGCAUCACAUUAAUAUUAAAACUCCGGUGGUAAAGGAUGGGCAUGCGUCUGAUUAGUUAGUUGGUGCGGGUAACGGCCCACCAAGACGAUGAUCAGUAGGGGAACUGAGAGGUUGAUCCCCCACACUGGCACUGAGAUACGGGCCAGACUCCUACGGGAGGCAGCAGUAGGGAAUAUUGGUCAAUGGAUGGAAGUCUGAACCAGCCAUGCCGCGUGCAGGAAGAAGGCCUUCUGGGUUGUAAACUGCUUUUGCCAGGGGAUAAAAAGACCGUGCGCGGUUAAUUGAAGGUACCUGGUGAAUAAGCCACGGCUAACUACGUGCCAGCAGCCGCGGUAAUACGUAGGUGGCAAGCGUUGUCCGGAUUUAUUGGGUUUAAAGGGUGCGUAGGCGGCCCCGUAAGUCAGUGGUGAAAUAUCUCAGCUUAACUGAGAGGGUGCCAUUGAUACUGCGGGGCUUGAGUACAGAUGAGGUAGGCGGAAUUGACGGUGUAGCGGUGAAAUGCAUAGAUAUCGUCAAGAACACCGAUAGCGAAGGCAGCUUACUAAGCUGUAACUGACGCUGAGGCACGAAAGUGUGGGGAUCAAACAGGAUUAGAUACCCUGGUAGUCCACACUGUAAACGUUGAUGACUCGAUGUUGGCGAUACACAGCCAGCGUCCAAGAGCAAUCGUUAAGUCAUCCACCUGGGGAGUACGCCGGCAACGGUGAAACUCAAAGGAAUUGACGGGGUCCGCACAAGCGGUGGAGCAUGUGGUUUAAUUCGAUGAUACGCGAGGAACCUUACCUGGGCUAGAAUGCCCUUGAUGGGUACAGAGAUGUAUCGUUCCGCAAGGACAAGGAGCAAGGUGCUGCAUGGCUGUCGUCAGCUCGUGUCGUGAGAUGUUGGGUUAAGUCCCGCAACGAGCGCAACCCUUGUCAUUAAUUGCCAUCAUUUAGUUGGGCACUUUAAUGAGACUGCCGGUGAUAAACCGGAGGAAGGUGGGGAUGACGUCAAGUCCUCAUGGCCCUUAUGGGUAGGGCUUCACACGUAAUACAAUGGCGCGUACAGAGGGUUGCCAACCCGCGAGGGGGAGCUAAUCUCAGAAAGCGCGUCGUAGUCCGGAUCGGAGUCUGCAACUCGACUCCGUGAAGUUGGAAUCGCUAGUAAUCGCGGAUCAGCAUGCCGCGGUGAAUACGUUCCCGGGUCUUGUACACACCGCCCGUCACACCAUGGGAGUGGGCUUCACCAGAAGCAGGUAGUCUAACCGUAAGGAGGGCGCUUGCCACGGUGAGGUUCAUGACUGGGGUGAAGUCGUAACAAGGUAACC
This 1489-nucleotide ribosomal RNA is filed under the name uncultured bacterium. Its description in RNAcentral is "bacterial SSU rRNA". It matches the Rfam family "Bacterial small subunit ribosomal RNA". The record is from RNAcentral.